RNAcentral lists this ribosomal RNA (253 nucleotides) under uncultured bacterium. RNAcentral describes it as "partial 16S ribosomal RNA". It matches the Rfam family "Bacterial small subunit ribosomal RNA", at positions 524 to 776 of the family's 1533-position model. The record is from RNAcentral.
AACGUAGGACGCAAGCGUUAUCCGGAGUUACUGGGCGUAAAGGGCGGGCAGGCGGCUUGUCAAGUGGGAUGUCAAAGCGCACAGCUUAACUGAGCGAGGCCAUUCCAAACUGAUGAGCUGGAGGGCAGUAGAGGUAGGCGGAAUUCCGGGUGGAGUGGUGAAAUGCGUAGAGAUCGGGAGGAACACCCGUGGCGAAGGCGGCCACCUGGGCCGACCCUGACGCUGAGGCGCGAAGGCGUGGGGAGCGAACGGG